Molecule: long non-coding RNA, 1467 nt
Filed under: Equus caballus (horse)
Lineage: Eukaryota; Metazoa; Chordata; Mammalia; Perissodactyla; Equidae
Description: lncRNA (ENSECAG00000054512.1)
Source: RNAcentral
CCCAAGAUUGCAGAGAGAGAGACAGGCAAAUACAGAAAAUCACAGCUUCCUGGAGCAGAGACCGAGGAGCGGAAACCACCGCGAGAACCAGAACUGGGGCAGGAAAAGCUGAGCUGUAAUUGACAACUGCUGACGGCUCAGAGUGGACAAGUCUGAGAGGUGACAGUAUUAUGAAGGUUCUCUAGAGAAACAGAACCAACAGGAGAUACAUACAUAUAUUAUAAGGAAUUUGCUCUUACAGUUAUGGAGGCUGAGUCAUUCCAUGAUCUGCCACCCGUAAGCUGGAGACGCAUGAGAGCUGCUGGUGUAAUUCAGUCUGAGUCAAAGGCGGGAGAACCAACGGAGCUGAUGAUGUGGAUUACAAUCCAAGUCUGAAGACCUAAGAACCAGGAGCACCGAGAAGAUCAACACCCCAGCUGGAGCAACCAGGCAGGAAGAAUUCAAAUCGAAUUUCCCUUUCCUCCACCUUCUGCUGCAUUCAGGCCAUCAACAGACUGGAAGAUGGCCACCCACAUUGGGGAAGGCAAUAUACUUUGCUGAGCCCACCAAUUCAAAUGCUAAUCUCAUUCAGAAACACCCUUACAGACACACCCAGGUAUAAUGUUUAGUCUCGGUAACUCGUGGUCAGUCAGCUUUACACACAAACUUAACCAUCACAACUGCUGUGUACAUGGGAGGACAUUUGAAGUUUGUUCUCCACCCUCCCGGUGAUAGUGACAUUGCUCCCCAGAAGCAUAAAUGAUUCUGCCAUGACCAGUCUGGUGGUGUCUCUUACAGAUUACUGCAAGAAGUUCUUUGGGAUAUUGAUGUAAGAACAAAUCAUAUAACAACAUGGCAGAAAGGCACAAAGCAUACUCCCAGCAGUCAUAUGGAGGGAUCAGCAUUCCCAAAUCCUCUCCAACAUUUGACAUUAUCUAGCUUUGUGGUUUUUGCCAGUUAAGUAAGUAUAGGAUGAUAGCACUUUUGUUGUUUUAUUUUGCUUUUAUCUCAUAAUAAAUGGUUUUCAGUUUUAUUAAUGAGUUUGUAUAUUUUUGGAUUUAAGCUUCUGUAAAUUACUUGUUGAUAUCCUUUUCCCAAUUUUCUUCUAUUGUGCUAUUUUCCUCUUCUUGUUCAUUUGCAGAUCAUUUUAUAAGUGCUGCUUUAUACAUGUGUUAGCUAUUUAUCAAUUUUAGACAAUAAAAAUAUCAUUUAUUAUUGCAUCUCCAUUAUUGUAUAACAUUAUUGCACACAGUCAGUUAACUCAAAGGAGGAACAGUCAGUGAUAUUUUUGGCUGUUUUCCAUUUGCCAUAAACCGUAAUACAUAUUCAGUAUCUACACUUCCGUUCAUAAGUUGAGAUGAAUCAUUCUCUCACCCAGAUACAUAAAAUUGAGAAUUAUCUAACACAUUUAAAAAAUCUGUUUCUUCUUGGUUUUCAGAAAUAAUGAUCAAUUUAUCACAGAAAGUCUUAGAAAAUGACAUAAUAUUC